Molecule: ribosomal RNA, 500 nt
Filed under: uncultured bacterium
Lineage: Bacteria
Description: partial 16S ribosomal RNA
Rfam family: Bacterial small subunit ribosomal RNA
Source: RNAcentral
AUUGAACGCUGGCGGCAUGCCUUACACAUGCAAGUCGAACGGCAGCACGGGAGCAAUCCUGGUGGCGAGUGGCGAACGGGUGAGUAAUAUAUCGGAACGUGCCCAGUCGUGGGGGAUAACGUAGCGAAAGCUACGCUAAUACCGCAUACGAUCUAUGGAUGAAAGCGGGGGAUCGCAAGACCUCGCGCGAUUGGAGCGGCCGAUAUCAGAUUUGGUAGUUGGUGAGGUAAAGGCUCACCAAGCCGACGAUCUGUAGCUGGGCUGAGACGACGCCCAGCCACACUGGGACUGAGACACGGCCCAGACUCCGACGGGAGGCAGCAGUGGGGAAUUUUGGACAAUGGGCGCAAGCCUGAUCCAGCAAUGCCGCGUGCAGGAUGAAGGACUUCGGGUUGUAAACUGCUUUUGUACGGAACGAAACGGCGAGCUCUAAUACAGUUUGCUAAUGACGGUACCGUAAGAAUAAGCACCGGCUAACUACGUGCCAGCCGCCGCGGUAA